UGCGAGUCGAGCGGACUUGAUGGAGUGCUUGCACUCCUGAAGGUUAGCGGCGGACGGGUGAGUAUCACGUAGUCAACCUGCCCUCAAGACUGGGAUAACUACCGGAAACGGUAGCUAAUUCCGGAUAAUUUAUUUUGCGGCAUUGUGAAAUAAUGAAAGGCGGAGCAAUCUGUCACUUGAGGAUGGGCCUGCGGCGCAUUAGCUAGUUGGUGGGGUAACGGCCCACCAAGGCGACGAUGCGUAGCCGACCUGAGAGGGCGCACGGCCACACUGGGACUGAGACAGGUCCAACUCUUAUACGGGAGGCAGCAGUAGGGAAUCUUCCGCAAUGGGCGAAAGCCUGACGGAGCAACGCCGCGUGAGUGAUGAAGGUUUUCGGAUCGUAAAGCUCUGUUGCCAAGGAAGAACGUCUUCUAGAGUAACUGCUAGGAGAGUGACGGUACUUGAGAAGAAAGCCCCGGCUAACUACGUGCCAGCAGCCGCGGUAAUACGUAGGGGGCAAGCGUUGUCCGGAAUUAUUGGGCGUAAAGCGCGCGCAGGCGGUUCUUUAAGUCUGGUGUUUAAACCCGAGGCUCAACUUCGGGUCGCACUGGAAACUGGGGAACUUGAGUGCAGAAGAGGAGAGUGGAAUUCCACGUGUAGCGGUGAAAUGCGUAGAUAUGUGGAGGAACACCAGUGGCGAAGGCGACUCUCUGGGCUGUAACUGACGCUGAGGCGCGAAAGCGUGGGGAGCAAACAGGAUUAGAUACCCUGGUAGUCCACGCCGUAACGAUGAAUGCUAGUGUUAGGGGUUUCGAUACCCUUGGUGCCGAAGUUAACACAUUAAGCAUUCCGCCUGGGGGAGUACGGUCGCAGACUGAACUCAAGGAAUUGACGGGGACCCGCACAAGCAGUGGAGUAUGUGGUUUAAUUCGAAGCACGCGAAGAACUUACCAAGUCUUGACAUCCC
Molecule: ribosomal RNA, 949 nt
Filed under: Paenibacillus lautus
Lineage: Bacteria; Bacillati; Bacillota; Bacilli; Caryophanales; Paenibacillaceae
Description: bacterial SSU rRNA
Rfam family: Bacterial small subunit ribosomal RNA
Source: RNAcentral